CCCUAGCCCUGAUUGAAAUGGAAAUCCUUUUUUGAGGUCAUUGUGAGGCACGAAGCAAUCCCGAAAAAAAGAUUGCAAUGGAAAGCAGGAUCAGCU
This 96-nucleotide small RNA is filed under the name Flavobacterium noncentrifugens. RNAcentral describes it as "Flavo-1 RNA". It matches the Rfam family "Flavo-1 RNA". The record is from Rfam by way of RNAcentral. Lineage: Bacteria; Pseudomonadati; Bacteroidota; Flavobacteriia; Flavobacteriales; Flavobacteriaceae.